UGGUUUCCUGUGAGGUGGAUGCAGCCUACUCCAUCUCCCUUCAGAGGAGCCCAGAGUAGAGGGGCUGGACCUCCUUCCCACGGGAGAGGCAUUUGAGAAAAGAGCCUCACCUGCCCAGGAGUGGCGCUGCACACAC
RNAcentral lists this small nucleolar RNA (136 nucleotides) under Dasypus novemcinctus (nine-banded armadillo). Its description in RNAcentral is "Small Cajal body specific RNA 21 (ENSDNOG00000045247.1)". It matches the Rfam family "Small Cajal body specific RNA 21". From Rfam's summary of the family: scaRNAs are a specific class of small nuclear RNAs which localise to the Cajal bodies and guide the modification of RNA polymerase II transcribed spliceosomal RNAs U1, U2, U4, U5 and U12. Lineage: Eukaryota; Metazoa; Chordata; Mammalia; Cingulata; Dasypodidae. The record is from RNAcentral.